Molecule: ribosomal RNA, 2895 nt
Filed under: Triticum aestivum (bread wheat)
Lineage: Eukaryota; Viridiplantae; Streptophyta; Magnoliopsida; Poales; Poaceae
Description: partial small subunit ribosomal RNA
Source: RNAcentral
AUGCUCACCUACCCCAGCGAUCAUCGGGGUCAUCCUCCGCAGCACGUGGCGGUACCCCCCUUCUCUACCUUUGCCGCCCCCUUCACCGUGGACGGGCUCCAUCGCGCGGACCAAACAUUCCCCAACCCUAGCCUCGAUGCCCCUGGCGCCACUUCCCUCUACGCGACGGGCGAGUGGGGGAAUGCGUCCUGGAUGGAAGCCCCCGUGAGAUACAUGGCCCCAGACGCCGCCGCUUCCGCCUCACCAGGUGUUAGAUACUAUCUUAGAGAAGAAAAGAAGAUGCAGAUCAAUAAAGUUGCCGCAGCGGUUCCCAGACAACAGAAUGCCUUUGUAAGCAAACUGUUUGAUCAUAUUGGUGCUGAAAAUGCAAGACAUUAUCAUCUGAAUAAGGAUCCUUCAGGCCCCGCGACAAGCCCCAUUGGCGCUCCUUCAUUUCCUGUCAAGAGUCUGACAAGUGAAAGCAUAGUUGGAAAUAUUUCCUGUCGAGCAGCAGAGGCAGAGAAAAGUGCACACACUCAAAUACUUACAAAAGAAGGUCAAGAACACUCUCACUGCCAUGCAGAUGCUGGGGAGAACUUGUUGCAGAUGUCUUGCUCUAGCUCUAGGAAUCAGGCAACAUUUCUGAAGCUAAUACACAACUUGUCAGUGGUGCUUCUGUCUACUUGCAAUGGCGGUUCUUCGUUACAGGAAUAUGAAAAGAAGAUUCUGAAAUCUGUUAUUCGAAAUCUUAAAGUUGCUUCUUCCAAAGAAGGCAAGGCUACAUUAAAAGGCGAUGAUUGUUUGAGGGACUCCAGUCAAAUCAGUUGCUUGAGAAACAAUUUGUUGGUGGCAAUCCCUGAACACUCGGUGUCAGAGAGCACAGAUUCAGAAUUUAAGACAUCUAUUUCACAGGCUCUUUCUAAGCUCCCAGAGGAUAAUAUGCUCGAUGAUACUGAAGUUUCUCAAGUGUCAAUUUACAAAAAAAUAUGGUUUGAAGCAGAAGCUUCGGUGUGUAAACUCAAAUAUGAGCUUCAUUGUGCCCGUAUGAAGCUUGCAACAAUGAAAGUUUUCAGCAACACACAAACAGUUCCAAUUGACCCGUCAGGAAGUGAUAAAGCCAGAGUAACCGUAUCUGAUGGCCAACCACAUAAUCAUGCCAAAGAUUGCAGUUCCUGUGCUGCGACCUUGCAAUGUCAUGGAGGAGUCCCGGCUGCUUCCCCAGUGCCUCUGCUGCCUGCAUUGGUGUCACAGCCUUACACGGUCGCGCCCGACAAUCCUUCAGGACCAUACUGUGGUUACUGUCAUAAGUUGGGGCUCACCCCUCAUCCAUGCUACAAGAAGAAUGAUCAGAGACGCAAUAUUUUUAGUGGCACCUCUUCUCCGUCAGGUCCAUGCCAGAGCUCCUCCACCGGCCAGGAACUUCUCACUCAACCACCACCGCCUCCUCCUUCAGAUAUAUUAUCUCCAAGGUCCAUUAUUGCUACAAAUAAGAGCAUCGCAAAUGGUCUUGAUGCUGAAAUAUUUACUCAAAUGAAAGUUCAGGAAUCCCGUAUUGAUAAUAUAAGCUCUUUGGGUGAGAGUAAGUGUGAGAGGCAGCAAGAACCUAGCAAGGGAUCAUAUCCCGUUGAAGAUGAUGUUUUGGCGAGGCUGAGAAUUUUGAAGUCCCGCCCUGAUUACAUAACCUCGUUGGGUUUGGAAAGCAGCAACCAUCAGCUAGACACAAGUAUACAUGCAUCAGAUGAGGUUCAUGAAAUGUUUGCUCGACUGAAAGUUUUGGAGUCCCGCAUUGACAAAAUAAGCCCUUUGGGUGACAACAAGUGUGAAGAGCAGGAAAAAGGAAAUAAGGUUGAAGAUGUUAUUAUGGCUAGGCUGGAAAGUUUGAAGUCCCAUCCAGAUGUGGAGGCUUCCUGCAUUGAGGCUGUUGAAGGAAUGGAGCAUCCUUGUGCUGUGGGGCUGCGAGUCUCUAGUCAUCAGUUACUUCCAUCGCCUGCUGCAGUAUUCGAGAAAACAACAUUGCUAUCGGAUACCGAACCACUAGAGGUCACUGGAGAGACUCCAGCCAUCCUGAUCCCGUCGUCUAAGAAAGCACCGCCUUUGUGUAGACUUAAAGAUGCACCUUCAGUGAUGGAGAAAGAUCAUUCAGGGUUGACAGACGAAGCUCUGCAUUCUGCGCCGUUGUUAAGUGUGCCCCAAGAAGCCGGGGACUUGGCACAAAAGACUGCAAAAGGCACUCCUGGUGAGUUAUGGGGCAUAAGGGCACUCCUGGUGAGUUAUGGGGCAUCUCGGCCCGCGACGUUAUCUUCUGAUUUUCCAUUCCCUGUUUGUGGUGCAACCUUGCCAUAUCUAGGGAUCGUCGUAAGCCUCCUUGGUGAGUACCUAGGUGUUAGUGUACUGUUGUCUCUUGCUGGUGUCAAGGAGGGUCUCAAGCAACCCCCUGAUCGCUGGUCUCCUCUUGAGUUCACCGGCCGAUUGUACUGUAGAUGGCUGCCGCUCGUUAACUCCGGCAUGCACGUCAAGGUCAAGUGUCUGGCUCGGAGCCGUUUCAAGAGUGCGCGCGUGCGUCCAGGUCUGGCCGGCCGGGGGACAUAUACACCGGACGUAAGGUACAACUGUGCCAUGCUUAUACAGCCGUACAGGGGUCAGGGUAGCCAGGCACAAGUGUACCCGCGUACUCUGCACGCCGAGCUGCACGGGGAGGCGCCGGCCGACGCUCGCACCCGCCGCUCACCUGUGCGUGGCCGACGUCUGCGUGUGGCCGGGGCGGAGCUCACCCGCGCCCGCCUAUGCAUGGCCGAGGCGGACGCCCACGCCACCGCGCCCUGCUCGCUGGGACGGAGCCCGCUGAGCGUGCCAUCCUCGAGUUCGAGCGCCGCUCAUCUGCCAGCUCCACGCCAUGUCGUCCCAACACUUCCCUAG